This is a long non-coding RNA of Astatotilapia calliptera (eastern happy), 1238 nucleotides long. The record is from Ensembl. NCBI's taxonomy places the organism in Eukaryota, Metazoa, Chordata, Actinopteri, Cichliformes, Cichlidae.
CAAAGAAGAGAAAAAAAGUGGCUAAAUAAUAUUCUGCAUUUUUUAAUUGGACCUCGAAUAGUUAGGCUACAUUUGCUCUUCUCCUUCCUGCAGGAAUGUGAUACAUACUAAUGCCUACCGACAUCAAGCCCAUAACAUGAGCCUUCUAUGUCUGGAAUGAACCAUCCGCAAAGCACAAAACCUUUUAUUUCCGAAGGCACAAUGCAUUCUCACUUGUGAAUAUGAAAUACAGAUGCCUGUGUGACAGGAAGUCGGAAAACAACACAGAACAGGCGCUGUCAAUAGCUACCGUUUCCAAACAAGAAGAGUCACGCUGUCAGCACUUUUCAAACGCCAGCUUUCAGGCAGUCAAUUAGGUUCAAGGUGAGACAAAAAUGUGUUGUCAUUUAAACGGUUUUGCUCCAUUGGGGCGGUGCAUCAAUUCAGUCAUCUCCAUUCCAGAGGUGACAAAGGGCUGGCAGGGAAGUUUAUAUUUGCCAGUAGAUACACAGUUCUGCUGUCAUUACACCAACCUGAGAUGAAGUGGGGAUUUGCAGGUGCGCACAUUUAAAAUGCGCCAUUCCCUGCGAGCAAAGCUUCAUAAAGACGGGAAUAAAAAAACAAAAACAAAAAAAGGGGGGCUACCGCCGAGGAAGCUGCUGGCUGAGGUGCAGCGCCGGCCCCCUCCUACUCCCACGCUCCUAAACCCAAUCCCGUGCCAUCGAUUAGGAAAAAAUCAAUUUAAGUCACAAGCUCAGAGAGGAGACGCUAAAAUGCUGCAAUACAUUUUGAAGUUGCAAAUGGAAUGAGGUUUUGAUGAACUCCACGAAUUCACCUUGGUUUAAUAAAUGACAAAUAUGCCCUCUCUUAAUUAAGAAAAAGAGAAAACGACCCUCGUGCGAUAGAAGCAUAAAUCUUUCAGCGCGGAGCUAUCCACGUGUAUGAAAACACUUUAAUUAUCUGCCUUCAAAGAAAAAAAAUAGUGUCUGCUCUCAGGAAAUCUUAUCAGGUAUGAAUGGAGAAAUGGUAUUUUAAUUUAAAAACAUUAAGCAGGAUAUUGUAAUGCACAUUUCUGCGAGGCAUUCAUGUUUUGUGUUCAAUUACAAGCUCUUUUGAACUGAAAGCAUGUCAGAAAAAAAAAUGUUAUAAUGGAUUUUUUUAUAACCCACAGAUAACAGCGUAACACUAUUAAAAUUUAUGUUUUUCAGUUUGCUCGGAUCUUUUCAAAGAUGUUGAACUGAAGCGUGGAUAGAUACCUG